CCUACGGGAGGCAGCAGUGGGGAAUAUUGCACAAUGGGCGCAAGCCUGAUGCAGCCAUGCCGCGUGUGUGAAGAAGGCCUUCGGGUUGUAAAGCACUUUCAGCGGGGAGGAAGGCGGUGAGGUUAAUAACCUCAUCGAUUGACGUUACCCGCAGAAGAAGCACCGGCUAACUCCGUGCCAGCAGCCGUGGUAAUACGGAGGGUGCAAGCGUGAAUCGGAAUUACUGGGCGUAAAGCGCACGCAGGCGGUCUGUCAAGUCGGAUGUGAAAUCCCCGGGCUCAACCUGGGAACUGCAUUCGAAACUGGCAGGCUAGAGUCUUGUGGAGGGGGGUAGAAUUCCAGGUGUAGCGGUGAAAUGCGUAGAGAUCUGGAGGAAUACCGGUGGCGAAGGCGGCCCCCUGGACAAAGACUGACGCUCAGGUGCGAAAGCGUGGGGAGCAAACAGGAUUAGAUACCCGAGUAGUC
This 465-nucleotide ribosomal RNA is filed under the name uncultured Klebsiella sp. RNAcentral's name for it is "bacterial SSU rRNA". It matches the Rfam family "Bacterial small subunit ribosomal RNA", at positions 338 to 795 of the family's 1533-position model. The record is from RNAcentral. Lineage: Bacteria; Pseudomonadati; Pseudomonadota; Gammaproteobacteria; Enterobacterales; Enterobacteriaceae.